AAAGUUUGAUCCGGGCUCAGGACGAACGCUGGCGGCGUGCUUAACACAUGCAAGUCGAGCGGAAAGGCCUUUCGGGGUACUCGAGCGGCGAACGGGUGAGUAACACGUGAGUAAUCUGCCCUGCGCUCUGGGAUAGCUUCGGGAAACCGAAAUUAAUACCGGAUAUGACAUUGCCUUGCAUGGGGUGGUGUGGAAAGUUUUUUCGGCGCAGGAUGUGCUCGCGGCCUAUCAGCUUGUUGGUGGGGUAAUGGCCUACCAAGGCUUCGACGGGUAGCCGGCCUGAGAGGGUGACCGGCCACACUGGGACUGAGACACGGCCCAGACUCCUACGGGAGGCAGCAGUGGGGAAUAUUGGACAAUGGGCGGAAGCCUGAUCCAGCAACGCCGCGUGAGGGAUGACGGCCUUCGGGUUGUAAACCUCUUUCAACACAGACGAAGUCUCUGCUUUUUGGUGGGGGUGACGGUAUGUGUAGAAGAAGGACCGGCCAACUACGUGCCAGCAGCCGCGGUAAUACGUAGGGUCCGAGCGUUGUCCGGAAUUAUUGGGCGUAAAGGGCUCGUAGGCGGUUUGUCGCGUCGGGAGUGAAAACCAGGUGCUUAACGCCUGGCCUGCUUUCGAUACGGGCAGACUGGAGGCAUGCAGGGGAGAACGGAAUUCCUGGUGUAGCGGGUGAAAUGCGCAGAUAUCAGGAGGAACACCGGUGGCGAAGGCGGUUCUCUGGGCAUGUCCUGACGCUGAGGAGCGAAAGUG
Molecule: ribosomal RNA, 751 nt
Filed under: uncultured bacterium
Lineage: Bacteria
Description: bacterial SSU rRNA
Rfam family: Bacterial small subunit ribosomal RNA
Source: RNAcentral